RNAcentral lists this non-coding RNA (24 nucleotides) under Cricetulus griseus (Chinese hamster). Lineage: Eukaryota; Metazoa; Chordata; Mammalia; Rodentia; Cricetidae. The record is from RNAcentral.
UUCUUUGUACUGAUAUGAUGGUGU